This is an RNA transcript of Carlito syrichta (Philippine tarsier), 1277 nucleotides long. It is a transcript of the gene named G2/mitotic-specific cyclin-B1 pseudogene, with no coding region annotated. The transcript has a single exon. Lineage: Eukaryota; Metazoa; Chordata; Mammalia; Primates; Tarsiidae. The record is from RefSeq and is a predicted model, not a curated record.
AUGGCACUCCGGGUCACCAGGAACACGAAAAUCAAUGCUGAAAAUAAGGUGCAGGUCAAUAUGGGAGGUGCAAAUGUGUGCCCAUGGCGGCUGCUGCAGCCUCCAAGCCAGGGCUGAGGCCAAGAACAGCUUUUGGAGACAUUGGCAACAAAGUCAGUGAACAGCCACCGGCCAAAAUGCCUCUGAAGAAGGAAGUAAAAACUUCAGCUACUGGAAAAGUUAUUGCUAAAAAACUACCAAAGCCUCUGGAGAAGCUGCCAGUGCUGAUGCCGGUGCCCGAGCCUGAGCCAGAACCUGAGCCUGUUAAAGAAGAAAAGCUUUCAUCUGAGCCUAUUCUGGUUGAUACUUCUUCUCCAAACCCAAUGGAAACAUCUGGAUGUGCCCCUGCAGAAGAGUAUCUGUGUCAGGUUUUCUCAGAUGUAAUUCUUGCAGUGAGUGAUGUGGAUGCAGAAGAUGGGGCUGAUCCAAACCUUUGCGGUGAGUAUGUGAAAGAUAUUUAUGCUUAUCUGAGACAGCUUGAGGAAGAGCAAUCAGUCAGACCAAAAUACCUACUGGGUCAGGAAGUCACUGGAAACAUGAGAGCCAUCCUAAUUGACUGGCUAGUUCAGGUUCAAAUGAAAUUCAGGUUGCUGCAGGAAACCAUGUACAUGACUGUUUCCGUUAUUGAUCGCUUCAUGCAGAAUAAUCGUGUACCCAAGAAGAUGCUGCAGCUGGUUGGUAUCACUGCCAUGUUUAUUGCAAGCAAAUAUGAAGAAAUGUAUCCUCCAGAAAUUGGUGACUUUGCUUUCGUGACUGACAACACUUACACUAAGCACCAAAUCAGACAGAUGGAAGUGAAGAUUCUAAAAGCUUUAAACUUUGGUCUGGGUCGGCCUCUAUCCCUACACUUCCUUCGGAGAACAUCUAAGAUUGGAGAGAUUAAUGUCGAGCAACAUACUUUGACCAAAUACAUGAUGGAGCUGACUAUGUUGGACUAUGAUAUGGUGCACUUUCCUCCUUCUCAAAUUGCAGUGGGAGUUUUUUGCUUAGCACUGAAAAUUCUGGAUAAUGGUGAAUGGACCCGAACUCUACAGCAUUACCUGACAUACACUGAAGAAUCCCUUCUUCCUGUUAUGUAGCAUCUGGCCAAGAAUAUAGUCAUGGUAAAUUGUGGACUUACAAAGUACAUGACUAUCAAGAACAAGUAUGCCACAUCUAAGCAUGCUAAGAUCAGCACUCUAGCACAGCUGAACUCUGCACUAGUUCACGAGUUAGCCAAGGCUGUGACAAAAGUGUAA